RNAcentral lists this ribosomal RNA (243 nucleotides) under Clostridioides difficile. Its description in RNAcentral is "partial 16S ribosomal RNA". It matches the Rfam family "Bacterial small subunit ribosomal RNA", at positions 1297 to 1533 of the family's 1533-position model. Lineage: Bacteria; Bacillati; Bacillota; Clostridia; Peptostreptococcales; Peptostreptococcaceae. The record is from RNAcentral.
AUUGUAGGUAACUCGCCUACAUGAAGCUGGAGUUACUAGUAAUCGCAGAUCAGAAUGCUGCGGUGAAUGCGUUCCCGGGUCUUGUACACACCGCCCGUCACACCACGGGAGUUGGAGACGCCCGAAGCCGAUUAUCUAACCUUUUGGAAGAAGUCGUCGAAGGUGGAAUCAAUAACUGGGGUGAAGUCGUAACAAGGUAGCCGUAUCGGAAGGUGCGGCUGGAUCACCUCCUUUCUAAGGAGA